Molecule: long non-coding RNA, 1123 nt
Organism: Oncorhynchus gorbuscha (pink salmon)
Lineage: Eukaryota; Metazoa; Chordata; Actinopteri; Salmoniformes; Salmonidae
Exons: 3
Source: RefSeq, a predicted model, not a curated record
GCACUUGGAGUAUUGUUAUAUUCUCCUAAAAGAAGAAUAGCACCUUUAGGGACAGCUCUAACAACAAUUUGAUUCUCAGGAGUGAAUGUAACAUUGUGUGUUCUCAUAAAUUCUGGAUAAUCAUAUAGUUGUCCAUCAUUAUUCAAUAAUUGUUUAACCCAAAUAAUGUUGUCACACCAGUUCUGGAAUAUUAAAGACUUGUUUUUGUAUUUUUGGACAUCAGCAGGUGUUCUUGAAACAACAUGAUGGAGUCGUCCACUAAAUGUAAUGCUGCUUGGGCGAGGAUGGAAAAGCCCAGCGAAGGCACCCGAGCUUAGAGGAGUUUCGUGAAAUUAGUAGGAGGCCAGAGGGCAGCCAACACCUCACACAGCCCCACUCUGUCACUCGCAGGCACAGCAACUCAGACCCCAACCCGGGGGUUGUACCCCAGAACACCCACAAAGAGAAAGAGAGAUCUCAGAUGCGAGUGAUGACCAGCAGCAGGGGAUCACUCAGUUUUCCCCUGUGAUCGGUGUGGUCAGGGUGUUCAGUCCUCAGAAAGCAGCCCUGUCCCAGGGCUCAGGUUCCAUAACACCGAGGGACUCAAUGGAGAGCUCCUCCCCUAAAUGGGGACUGAGGAGGCACUAGCCACCUCUAUGAAGGAGAAACCUGAGGAUGAGAAGGUGGACUAUCUGGAGGGGCUGACAACAGACAUGUUUGGGGACGGCAAGGAGUUUGAGCGUUGUUUGUCAGAUCCAGACCCAGCCUUUAUGAAUCACCAUGAGGAGGCGGAGGCCCUGCCUGACGCCCUUUACUUCCUCUUGGGGAGCAGCAGAGGCCUGUCCCAUCCCCAGGGUUUCGUGGACGUCCUCCCAGAGGAGGUGCUGAUGCUGGUUUUGAGCCUCCUGCCUGCUGAGGACUUCUACUGUAAUGUCAGCCUGGUCUGCCAACGCUGGAGGAACAUUAUCACCCAGUCACUGGUGAGAGCCUGGGACAGGUGGAGGACGUUAGGGUUAAAGUUAUUACAUUUACAUUUAAGUCAUUUAGCAGACGCUCUUAUCCAGAGCGACUUACAAAUUGGUGCAUUCACCUUAUGACAUCCAGUGGAACAGCCACUUUACAAUAGUGCAUCUAAAUCUUUUAA